UGCGGUGUAGAGAAGCGGCUAUCUCACAAGCCUCAUAAGCUUGGAAUCGGAGGUUCGAGUCCUCCCACUCGCAACCA
RNAcentral lists this transfer RNA (77 nucleotides) under compost metagenome. Its description in RNAcentral is "tRNA-Met". It matches the Rfam family "tRNA". From Rfam's summary of the family: Transfer RNA (tRNA) molecules are approximately 80 nucleotides in length. Their secondary structure includes four short double-helical elements and three loops (D, anti-codon, and T loops). The record is from RNAcentral.